Molecule: transfer RNA, 72 nt
Filed under: Podarcis lilfordi (Lilford's wall lizard)
Lineage: Eukaryota; Metazoa; Chordata; Lepidosauria; Squamata; Lacertidae
Description: tRNA.Ala
Rfam family: tRNA (bases 7-67)
About the family: Transfer RNA (tRNA) molecules are approximately 80 nucleotides in length.
Source: RNAcentral
UGUGCCAUAGCUCAGUGGGGUUGAGCACCUGCUUUGCAUGCAGAAGGCCCCAGGUUCAAUCCCCAGUCAUAU